RNAcentral lists this ribosomal RNA (443 nucleotides) under uncultured bacterium. RNAcentral describes it as "partial 16S ribosomal RNA". It matches the Rfam family "Bacterial small subunit ribosomal RNA", at positions 338 to 795 of the family's 1533-position model. The record is from RNAcentral.
CCUACGGGGGACUGCAGUGGGGAAUAUUGGGCAAUGGGCGCAAGCCUGACCCAGCAACGCCGCGUGAAGGAAGAAGGCUUUCGGGUUGUAAACUUCUUUUCUCAGGGACGAAGAAAGUGACGGUACCGGAGGAAUAAGCCACGGCUAACUACGGGCCAGCAGCCGCGGUAAUACGUAGGUGGCAAGCGUUAUCCGGAUUUAUUGGGUGUAAAGGGCGUGUAGGCGGGAGCGCAAGUCAGAUGUGAAAACUCAGGGCUCAACCCUGAGCCUGCAUUUGAAACUGUGUUUCUUGAGUGCUGGGGAGGCAAUCGGAAUUCCGUGUGUAGCGGUGAAAUGCGUCGAUAUACGGAGGAACACCAGUGGCGAAGGCGGCUUGCUGGACAGUAACUGACGCUGCGGCGCGACAGCGUGGGGAGCAAACAGGAUUAGAUACCCUAGUAGUC